UACAGAGGCCUCGAGCGUUAGGCGGAAUCACUGGGCUUAAAGCGUGUGUAGGCGGAUUGGUAAGUACCUUGUGAAAUCCCACAGCUUAACUGUGGAACUGCUCGGUAUACUGCUGAUCUUGAGCCACUCAGGGGCUACCGGAACAAAUGGGUGGAGCGGUGAAAUGCGUAGAUAUCAUUGGAACGCCAAUGGUGAAAACAGGUAGCUGGGGGUGUGCUGACGCUGA
This 226-nucleotide ribosomal RNA is filed under the name uncultured bacterium. Its description in RNAcentral is "partial 16S ribosomal RNA". It matches the Rfam family "Bacterial small subunit ribosomal RNA", at positions 524 to 749 of the family's 1533-position model. The record is from RNAcentral.